This 431-nucleotide ribosomal RNA is filed under the name uncultured bacterium. Its description in RNAcentral is "partial 16S ribosomal RNA". It matches the Rfam family "Bacterial small subunit ribosomal RNA", at positions 338 to 795 of the family's 1533-position model. The record is from RNAcentral.
CCUACGGGGGGCUGCAGUGGGGAAUUUUGGACAAUGGGGGCAACCCUGAUCCAGCCAUGCCGCGUGUGUGAAGAAGGCCUUCGGGUUGUAAAGCACACGACAUGCGUUAGCGGUACCGUAAGAAGAAGCACCGGCUAACUACGUGCCAGCAGCCGCGGUAAUACGUAGGGUGCGAGCGUUAAUCGGAAUUACUGGGCGUAAAGUGUGCGCAGGCGGCCGCGCAAGUCGAGUGUGAAAUCCCCGAGCUUAACUUGGGAAUUGCGCUCGAAACUACGUGGCUGGAGUGUGGCAGAGGAAGGUGGAAUUCCACGUGUAGCGGUGAAAUGCGUAGAUAUGUGGAGGAACACCGAUGGCGAAGGCAGCCUUCUGGGCCAAAUGACGCUCAUGCACGAAAGCGUGGGGAGCAAACAGGAUUAGAUACCCUUGUAGUC